Molecule: long non-coding RNA, 1244 nt
Filed under: Lactuca sativa (garden lettuce)
Lineage: Eukaryota; Viridiplantae; Streptophyta; Magnoliopsida; Asterales; Asteraceae
Description: long non-coding RNA (LSAT_LNC004760)
Source: RNAcentral
AAUAUCUCCUCCUUCCCAGCCAGAUUCUUUCCUUCCGCUUUUCCUCCAUUCAAAGCGUGUUUUCCUCUCUUCGUGCCUCGUCUUUCCAUACAUCUACGAGAGAGGAAAAUUAUCGCAGAAAAGGAGGUUUGCGUCUCUUAAUUCUAACCUAAUCAGCCCCUGAUUUACCCUUUCCUAUCGAUACGCCUUCAGGUACUUUCUAUUUUGUUUUAAUUGCAUAUUAGGGUUCACAACCGCGUCUCAGAUCUGAUGGCAGAUUUUGAUUUUUUUGGAUAACUCCUAAACGGAAUACGGUUUAUUAUGUCCACAAACUUUUCCGAAUUAGGGUUCUAUCUGAACUUUACAUGUUUCUAUAGCGAUUCUGGUAUCUUCAAGGUAUUAGUCUUACGGUUUUAUACUUUAUGCUUGUACGGAUUUCUGACCUGGUUCCUUGAGUUUCUCAUCCUGACAUGUCAUGUACUCAUGUAUAACUCCACGAACCCCUAAAACUGAAUACGUUUUAUUACAGACAUAAACCCUUUUUCUCAUUAAGAUUUUCAUCCUGAGAUCAUGUAUAACUCCAUGUCUUCUCGUUGAUGAGUUCGGAAAAAUAUAUUUGAGAUCUUAGUCGUGCAAUAUUACUUUUUGAGUGAAGUUUGUGUUUGACAUCACGCUUGUGUUGAAUUUUAACCUGAUUUCUCGAGUCUUUUAGUGGUACAGAAUAAGUGGUGGUGAUGUUUUACUUCUAAUUCAUCGAGAGCUUUGUAUGUAGUAAACCAUUUAUUAGCUGGAAUGACAUGUCUAUCAGUAUUUUGGUACUGGAUUCCCAAAACUGAAAGCAGAUUAUAGUACCCCCAAACCACUUUUCUGUGUAUGGUGUAAAUCUGAAUCAGAUUUAUCCUGUUUAACUUCUUAUGUUUCUCAAAUGAUCUUUGAAAGUUAUUCUUAAGAUAGUAGCCAUUUGUUAUCUCUUUGUGCAGCAUCAGCAUGUGACUAAAUAUAACUUUGUGUUUUUUUUAUGCUAUUAAUUCUAACCUGAUUUCUUAUCAAGAAUUUUGUUUGGUGUAGUGAAUAGUGACAUUGGUUUUUUGAUAUGGCUGCUACCACAACUGAACCUACUCCAGCUCCUCGCUAUGCCCCAGAAGACCCUUCCCUUCCAAAACCUUGGAAAGGUUUAGUUGAUGGAGCCACUGGGUAUCACUACUAUUGGAAUCCAGUAACUAAUGUUACCCAAUAUGAGAAGCCCUCAGCAGGGUCUAAGGGUU